Molecule: long non-coding RNA, 773 nt
Filed under: Equus asinus (donkey)
Lineage: Eukaryota; Metazoa; Chordata; Mammalia; Perissodactyla; Equidae
Description: lncRNA (ENSEASG00005029222.1)
Source: RNAcentral
UGCUUGAGGAAGAUUAUCACUGAGCUAACAUCUGUGCCAGUCUUCCUCUAUUUUGUAUGUGGGAUGCCACCAACUGCAUGGCUUGGUGAGCAGUGUGUGUGUCCAGACCUGGGACCCGAACCAGCGAACCCCGGGACACAAAAGUGGAGUGCAUGAACCUAACUACUAUGCCACCGGGCCGGCCCUGCUAUUUCUUCUGUAGGAACAUCACAGUCUGGCCACCAGCGAUACUAAGAAGUGGACUCGGGGUCCUGUUUCCUUGGAAGCUGCCAAGUUAAGAUAAGAGUGGAAUGCUGUGUCCAAACCCCUUAGGGCCUGGUUUGGAAACCAAAGCUGCUUCCUUGUGUCAAAGUGACCCACGGGCUCGGCGCCUCCGGGCAAGAGCUGCUGCGCAUUCCCACUGAGGGACGCAGACAGCAGAGCUGCUCAAGUCUGGGAUGUGAGGAAACACAGUUUCCCAGGACACCGUAACUGACGCCCGUGAACGAAAGCAGUUGUUCCAGCUUCACACUUUCUACCAACCCGCACCGGCUUCACCAGACGUUGAGUGGUCUGCCCGCUGGAUUCGCAGGGAACGCAGUUGCAUUUUUACCCAAAGGCAGUACAGACACAGUGAAAGCUUUUAAGAUCUCCAAGUCUUAAACACCUUUCGUCUCCAGAACCGGGCACAUGCCUGGCACGAAGAACCGAAUUGGAGCCUCUCUCCCUGGAAACCAGAGUCUUCAUCUUUCACACACUCCCCUGCGUGAUGUUUGUGCGCACUACGGUUUGAG